This 492-nucleotide ribosomal RNA is filed under the name uncultured bacterium. Its description in RNAcentral is "partial 16S ribosomal RNA". It matches the Rfam family "Bacterial small subunit ribosomal RNA", at positions 29 to 507 of the family's 1533-position model. The record is from RNAcentral.
AGUGAACGCUGGCGGUAGGCCUAACACAUGCAAGCCGAACGGCAGCACAGUAAGAGCUUGCUCUUACGGGUGGCGAGUGGCGGACGGGUGAGGAAUACAUCGGAAUCUACUUUUUCGUGGGGGAUAACGUAGGGAAACUUACGCUAAUACCGCAUACGACCUACGGGUGAAAGCAGGGGAUCUUCGGACCUUGCGCGAUUGAAUGAGCCGAUGUCGGAUUAGCUAGUUGGCGGGGUAAAGGCCCACCAAGGCGACGAUCCGUAGCUGGUCUGAGAGGAUGGCCCGCCACACUGGAGCAGGUCCACGUUCCGCACCCCUACGGGAGCCGGCGGUGGGGAAUAUUGGACAAGGGGCGCAGGCCUGAUCCACCCAUCCGGGGGGGGUGAAAAUGCCCUUGGGGUUCUAAAGCCUUUUUUUGGGGAAGAAAAAGCAGCGGUUUAAUCCCCGCCUUUCCUGACGGUACCCAAAGAAAAAGCCCCGGCUAACUCCGUG